GGAUGGAGUGAGCUGCUGUGGACCAAAUCCUACUCCAAGUCCCAUGGUUCAGCCUCCAGCAGCUCUGUCUCCUGGCACUUGCCAGGUGCAGGUUGAGUACAGGUCCAUCAGCAAGAGGGGCAUUUGAUGUCAAGCCUCCUGCAUAGCUACCUGAUGAGGGAGCCGGCGUCCUAUUCAAUUCCCUUCUCCACUACCAGGCUGAGAGACGCGUGCUUCUCCAGGGGUUCCCCAGGGACUAAGGACAGGCAUGAUGAGGAGCCUCGCUCCCUCGCUCCCUCGCUCGGGGUCCAGCCCUCCUGCUCUGCACCCUUCCCAAGCCUGCAACCCGGCCGCCACCAGAGGGCGCUGCAGCCCAGCCCGGGCCUCCGCCCCCCCCCCGCCCCCCACUCCCUGUACCCGUCAAUCUUCCGCCUGGGAUGGGUGUGCAGGCCUGAGCUCCAGGGACUGGGGUUCAGGCCUCCCCUACCCACAGGUACUGGUAAGUGACUUCUCUUCCACGUGUGACCUGUUGGGAGCAGGAUUUCUCGGUGUUAGCAGAAGACUGAUCAAUAUGCAGAUUCGCCAUCCUGGCCCAACUGGCUGUCCUGUCUGAUGCUCGCUGGACCUUGCCUUCUCAGAGAGCACCAUGUAAUUAUACAGGGACAACUUGGGAAUCGGUUCCAGCGUACAGCCAGGGCUGAGAGCGCUGGUUAGAACUUGGGAUGCGUGCCCUUUUUUGUCACUAUGUUGCAUGGAGAAUUUGAGAGCCACUGCCUUACAGACACUUGGAGCUGGGCAGUCCAUCAGCCCGUCCAUCAUUCAUUGGUUUUAUCUUUCAUUCUGUGGCCUUUCCCUGUGCUCCCAGGGAAACCUUGGGUGCCCUCAGAAGCUGGUACAUGGAGACACAGUGUGGACUCACACUGAAACAGUGUUUUCCUAGCUCGUUCAUUUUUCUGGUCUCUUGGCCUUGCAUGGCUUUCCAGGCCAGGAAAGUAUCUAACAGGCAGCCCAGCUGCUGAGCUCCCUGCUUGCUUCCAGUUUCGCCAUUAGUCCAAGCCGAGGCAGGCACCCUGGCAGUCCUCCUGGGGCCUGUGUGUGAGGUUCUUGGUCUCUCUUCCCGAAGAUGGCUGCUGGGGUGUGGGCAGGUGCAUGCUACUUGCCCUCCUAUGGUCCAGCGGAGGGACUGGAACAUAGCAGGAGCGUGUUCCAUCCUGUUGAGAAGAGCAGUCACAGUAGCUGCUGUUUGCUAAGCGCCUAGUGUGUGCCAGGCCUGUGCUACAGACUUGCAAGUGUCAUCAGUCAUCGUAGUCCCCAGCAGGAGCCUGUUCCUCCGUUUUACAGAAGAGGAAGUCAGGGCUCAGGAAGGUUGUCGCUCACUGGAAUCACUAGGGACAUCCAGAUUUGAACUCACCACCCUCCAACAGAGUAGGCUGAUGAGCACUUCCCCCAUUCCAUGCAGAUGGAAACUGGGCUCUGCGUACAAGGCUGUCUUGGAGCUGCAGUUUGGUGGGAGGCAGCAAACACAAACACCAAUCGCAUUUUGUUCUAAAUCCAUCUUGGAGGGCCCGUAGGGGUUGAGCCAUGUGCAUGCCGUGGCAGAGGCAGGGGCUGAGGGGCCCAGGCACCUCUUCUGGGCUCAUGGACUCCCAGUGUUCCCAGCACAGCCCGUGUUGCGCUGCCUCUCCUGCCUGUGAGCCCAGAGGGAUGAGCACCACCUGUGAUGUGCUCAAGGCUGGCCCGACACACGCAGGAGUCAGUGUUUCCUGAAAAGACAGGGCUUCCAUCCCUGCAGCCCCCUCCCCAGUCACCCCAGCCACACACCGUACCACUCUCUCCAGCUGUGGAAAUUUGUACCUCAGCCCAGAACGAACUCACUGGCAGUUAGCUGCUUGGCUGCCAGGACAGCCAAUUGGGUGCUAGCAGUGCCUGGGCCACCUCCAGGAACAAAGG
Heterocephalus glaber (naked mole-rat) is the source of this 1929-nucleotide non-coding RNA. NCBI's taxonomy places the organism in Eukaryota, Metazoa, Chordata, Mammalia, Rodentia, Bathyergidae. The record is from RefSeq and is a predicted model, not a curated record.